GAGUUUGAUCAUGGCUCAGAUUGAACGCUGGCGGCAUGCUUUACACAUGCAAGUCGAACGGUAACAGGGAGCUUGCUCCGCUGACGAGUGGCGAACGGGUGAGUAAUGCGUCGGAACGUGCCGAGUAGUGGGGGAUAACGCAUCGAAAGGUGUGCUAAUACCGCAUACGAACUGAGGUUGAAAGUGGGGGACCUUCGGGCCUCACGCUAUUCGAGCGGCCGACGUCUGAUUAGCUAGUAGGUGAGGUAAAGGCUCACCUAGGCGACGAUCAGUAGCGGGUCUGAGAGGAUGAUCCGCCACACUGGGACUGAGACACGGCCCAGACUCCUACGGGAGGCAGCAGUGGGGAAUUUUGGACAAUGGGCGCAAGCCUGAUCCAGCCAUGCCGCGUGUCUGAAGAAGGCCUUCGGGU
RNAcentral lists this ribosomal RNA (412 nucleotides) under uncultured bacterium. RNAcentral describes it as "bacterial SSU rRNA". It matches the Rfam family "Bacterial small subunit ribosomal RNA", at positions 9 to 423 of the family's 1533-position model. The record is from RNAcentral.